This 492-nucleotide ribosomal RNA is filed under the name uncultured bacterium. Its description in RNAcentral is "partial 16S ribosomal RNA". It matches the Rfam family "Bacterial small subunit ribosomal RNA", at positions 30 to 507 of the family's 1533-position model. The record is from RNAcentral.
AUUGAACGCUGGCGGCAUGCUUUACACAUGCAAGUCGAACGGUAACAGGCCUUCGGGUGCUGACGAGUGGCGAACGGGUGAGUAAUGCAUCGGAACGUGCCCAGAGGUGGGGGAUAACGCAGCGAAAGCUGUGCUAAUACCGCAUGUGAUCUGAGGAUGAAAGCGAGGGACCAAGCAGCAAUGUUUGGCCUCGCGCCUCUGGAGCGGCCGAUGUCAGAUUAGGUAGUUGGUGGGGUAAAGGCCUACCAAGCCGACGAUCUGUAGCUGGUCUGAGAGGACGACCAGCCACACUGGGACUGAGACACGGCCCAGACUCCUACGGGAGGCAGCAGUGGGGAAUUUUGGACAAUGGGCGCAAGCCUGAUCCAGCAAUGCCGCGUGCGGGAAGAAGGCCUUCGGGUUGUAAACCGCUUUUGUACGGAACGAAAAGGCUCUGGCUAAUACCUGGGGCUGAUGACGGUACCGUAAGAAUAAGCACCGGCUAACUACGUG